Molecule: ribosomal RNA, 497 nt
Filed under: uncultured bacterium
Lineage: Bacteria
Description: partial 16S ribosomal RNA
Rfam family: Bacterial small subunit ribosomal RNA
Source: RNAcentral
GAUGAACGCUGGCGGCGUGCCUAAUACAUGCAAGUCGAGCGAACGGACGAGAAGCUUGCUUCUCUGAUGUUAGCGGCGGACGGGUGAGUAACACGUGGAUAACCUACCUAUAAGACUGGGAUAACUUCGGGAAACCGGAGCUAAUACCGGAUAAUAUUUUGAACCGCAUGGUUCAAAAGUGAAAGACGGUCUUGCUGUCACUUAUAGAUGGAUCCGCGCCGCAUUAGCUAGUUGGUAAGGUAACGGCUUACCAAGGCAACGAUGCAUAGCCGACCUGAGAGGGUGAUCGGCCACACGGGAACUUAGACACGGUCCAGACUCCUACGGGAGGCAGCAGUAGGGAAUCUUCCGCAAUGGGCGAAAGCCUGACGGAGCAACGCCGCGUGAGUGAUGAAGGUCUUCGGAUCGUAAAACUCUGUUAUUAGGGAAGAACAUAUGUGUAAGUAACUGUGCACAUCUUGACGGUACCUAAUCAGAAAGCCACGGCUAACUACGUG